GUCUAUGGCCAUGCUACUCCGAACAAGCCAGAUCCUGUCUGAUCUUGGAAGCUAAGCAGGGAUGGGCCUGGUUAGUACUUGGAUGGGACACCACCUAGGAAGACCAGGUGCUGUAGGCA
Molecule: ribosomal RNA, 119 nt
Filed under: Pteropus alecto (black flying fox)
Lineage: Eukaryota; Metazoa; Chordata; Mammalia; Chiroptera; Pteropodidae
Source: RNAcentral